GAUGAACGCUAGCGGCAGGCUUAAUACAUGCAAGUCGUGGGGCAGCAGGGGUGUAGCAAUACAUCUGCUGGCGACCGGCAAACGGGUGCGUAACACGUACGCAACCUUCCCGUUACUGUGGCAUAGCCCAGGGAAACUUGGAUUAAUACCACAUAUUAUAUAGAGAGGGCAUCCUUUUUAUAUCAAAGCUUCGGCGGUAACGGAUGGGCGUGCGGUUGAUUAGGUAGUUGGCGGGGUAACGGCCCACCAAACCUACGAUCAAUAGCUGAUGUGAGAGCAUGAUCAGCAACACGGGCACUGGGACACGGGCCCGACUCCUACGGGAGGCAGCAGUAAGGAAUAUUGGGCAAUGGACGAAAGUCUGACCCAGCCAUGCCGCGUGGAGGAUUAAGGUCCUCUGGAUUGUAAACUUCUUUUCUCUGGGGCGAAAACCAGCUAUUCUUAGCUAUUUGACAGUACCAGAGGAAUAAGCACCGGCUAACUCCGUGCCAGCAGCCGCGGUAA
Molecule: ribosomal RNA, 504 nt
Filed under: uncultured bacterium
Lineage: Bacteria
Description: partial 16S ribosomal RNA
Rfam family: Bacterial small subunit ribosomal RNA
Source: RNAcentral